CCUCACCAAACGAGCUCGCAAGAAUCAUGUAGUAUCAUCUCUUCCCCUACCUUAUCUUGGGCGGAUUAGUUCUUGUUAUUAGUUGGAUCUACUAGAAACCUAUUUGCAUCGCCCUUUUUGUUCUUGUCCGGUGUUUGUCCCACAUUUCAUAUUGUUUUGUCGGUGGACAUAUAAGGUUAGGAUAUAGGUCUGUGAAUAUAGUUUAAGUAUGAAGCCAGACAUUGCACUUGACUAUACAGGUCUCUGAAUAUAAGGGUAGGACAGCUGAUAUUCUCCAAGCCAAUAUUUCCACCAACAUGAUUUUCUCCAUGCUAAUAUUUCCACUAUUUCAGACAGAAUGACCAGCUGAUGUUCUUUCAGAAAGAAAUUUGAGUGUUGUUUGAUUUGCAUGGGAACUAUUUCUGGAAGAAAUUAAAAGCUUUGUGUCCGUGUUGUGAGUGAUUGUUAAGAAAUUUUUGGUUUAAGGCAAAACAACUCUGUUAUCCAUUUAUGGUAUUUAUUUCCUCGACAACUCUGUUAUCCUCAGCUUUAGUGACACUUCACUGGUGCUUAUAAGAAAUUUUUAUUUGCACAAUCGUGUCUGAGAUCCAGUUUCCGCCAUCAGCCAUGGUUUUAUAGGUAAAUGUAUGUGAAGUAGUACGGUAGGAGGUAAAAAAUCAGCAAGGACUCAGCUGGUUAGGACUUAGGAGUACGGGUGUGGAAUAGCCUUUAGUUUUUCCUGUUUCCAUUUCAUGUUUCACUUCCCCAAUAUUUUACAUGAGGGGUAUAGAAAAAUUAGGAAGCAUUGUAUUCCUGCAGAUCCUGUUUUUAGCAUACUGAUAGUUUUGUCUAUUUGUAAAUUUAUUAACUAUUGAAACUUACCCUUCUUUUGACAGGAACAAUGCUUAUUGACAAUAUAUAUUGUUUUGCCAAAUGAACUAGCUCAAUCAGAAUAUUCAUUGUUUGUUUCCGAACCUGUCAAAAACCUGGAGGCUGUUUCCUAAUCACUCUAGGAGAUUUGGAUCCAAACAGUUAUUAGGUAUAUCUUUGACACAGUUGUAUGGUGAAGGGACAUCGCAGCUCAGGUGGGGAAUUUAAUUGUUGUUUUUAUUUCAAUUUUGCUAUAAAAUUUAGAAAUUAUAUAUAAGAACCGAGAUUCUUCUUUGACUGUUCACCAAUCGUGCAGGGGAAUAGUUCCAAUUUUGAAAGAGAUGGAACCCAGAUUUGUGAUUUUUAUAAUGUUUUCAUGGUGCCUGC
This 1236-nucleotide long non-coding RNA is filed under the name Setaria italica (foxtail millet). RNAcentral's name for it is "long non-coding RNA (SITA_LNC006075)". Lineage: Eukaryota; Viridiplantae; Streptophyta; Magnoliopsida; Poales; Poaceae. The record is from RNAcentral.